GAGCCGAUGGAAACGCGAGAGGAUUUCGCACGAUGCCGCGGAACUCGCGUAGCGUUAACGAUUUUUCAGCUAACUUGCUAAUAUGAUUCCAAGUAUCGCGAAACACCAGAAAGACGAAAGCCAAUCCCGUCGUCCCGGGUCCACGUUCACGGAUUGCGAAUCGUUUCGUACAGGGUGAGUCGUGAAUCGUCGCGAUAUUCGAGCUAGGUCUGUCCGAUCAAAAAAGUAAUGAUUCAAACGAAUGUUUCUCGACACAUUUUCUUUUUAUUAGACUACCAGAACUACACCGCUGACCAUAAGCAUUGUAUUAGGACACUUGCAUGGAUACAUUGUAAUUGAAAUUCGUUUAGAAAUUCUACGAGUAACUACAUUUACAAAUACUCCAAUUCUUCCAAGUUCCUUCAUGGCUGCUGCCAUAAAAUGUAACGAAGUUAUAUUACUAAUUUAACACGUUGAACGCCACGUCACCCGCACAAGGCUGACAUGGAUUUUCACUGAGGAAUUAAAAAAUUAAUUCUGAAAAUCAAGUGUUGAAAAAAAGCAAGUCUGAACAGGAUUCAUGAAUUGUGAUCGGCUUGUAAAACUAAAUGCUAACCGCAAAUAUUAAAUUAAAUAACUUCCAUUUUGUAAUUGUUGCAAAAAAGUUAACGAAAUAAACGUCAGCAAAUGUAUCAAGUGCCCUAAUACUCGUGACCAGCAUUUUUCUUAGAGAUCCCAUGGGAAAAGCUCGGUAUCCCCGAGGCAAGCAACCCAGCUUCGCACAAUAAUAAUAAUAAUCAGAACUAGUUGAAAUAUCGCAGGGCUGUUUUCACGACCCACCCAGCACGUUCUUGCAAUCGCCGACCACGGAUGUUUGUUCCAUGAAAUUCCCGUGAAAAACUUACGAAGUCGGCGAGGGUUUUUCUCGAAACUGUGAAACUGGUUUCAAUUCGAGACUCUUUUUCCGCAAAACAGACACCGAAGAUGUCGCGCUCGUUACGAGAAAACAAACGUGCCCCGGAUAACAAUGUCCAAGUGCUCUGUGAAACCGCGAGAACGUUAUAUACUUCUUUUUCUCUUAGUGUUUCUUAAUUAUCUCGCCACGUGUAAUCAAUGCCGGAAAGCCUCUGCGAAACAAAAGCGAACUCGUUAGAGGGGCGUUUGUUGCCAUGCAUAUCGCAGUGUAAUUAUAUUUCGAGGAUUGUAACUUCAACAGUGGCCGGACAACCUUCGCGGCCGGCUGCCUUUCACGGAGUUAAAGAACACGUGAAUAUAUAUCCCUGAGUACAUCCGUGUCAUGCAUACGAGCCCGCGGUCCAAAUCAUGGAUACUUAAUAUUUCAAGUGGCAACGAAGAAUGGGACGUUAGUCGAGCGAUUUAACAUAUUUAUUCGAAAUUUUCAACAUAAUUAGUCCUCAAGGAACAGCGACUGCGCUGGAGUAUACGUGCUUCUUUCGCUGGGUCUUUUAAUUGAACUUGUUAGCGAUACCUCAACCUCCGUAAUCGAGUUUAAUUUAAAGACAUUCGCAGGGAAGGCUGUCGAUGAAUAAUGCAAUGGCAAAUCACUGCGACUGGAUUACCUAAUUCUAUUUUUCACCGGUCACGUUCAAACCCCCAAGAGUAAUACUCUGGAUCUACUUUAACAAGUUCAUAGUUCCUGGCAGAUUAAACAAUGUAAGGAUGGGUCAUCCGAGCUUUAGGUACAAAGCUUAGAAGAUUCACCCUGUAUGUUUUCACUCCUAGUUUUGUCUUUUACCUCAUUCACUGCCAAGCAAAUGUAAAGCGUUUCGACUUGGGCGCCAAGAUUCGAUACAGAUGUGCAAUCUAAGUUAUUAUUUUGAUAAUAAAGAAUAUAGAAUUUGUUGUUUUAAAAAAAAAUUUACGAUCUACUUUCGCAAUAAUUCCAUUCAAAAGGCUAUAAACUCAUCCCUCGAGUAAUUACUAUAAAUUUAAACUAGGAGACAGUAGUUGGCAGUGAAUGGGUUAAACAACGAAAAGCGAUUAUUUUCAUAUUAAAAUUAUCCAUUUCCUUUAAAAUUUCUUUCUCUGUAAAUAAUUUCUAAUAUUCGGAUAUCCACUGAAUUUCAAAGCUCGUUUCAAAUUCCGCCAUUCGGUGACAACGCGUGGGAAGAUAUUAGCGGGGGAAUAUCGCAGAGGAGGAGCAGUUUUCCGCGAGAUGAUCGAGAGAAAUGUGGUCACAGGUUUCCACGAAAACGGGCGAGUCGCAGCGAUACGUCAUAAUUAAUCACGUCGCAGUCGGGCUGUAUCGCUUUAUUGGUCGCAUUACACGCGACACCUGGCCUUUAACAGCGUCUCGAAUUUCCCGAACGAGUGAAAAGAGACCCGUGGAAUAAAUGCGCGUCGAUUUUAAUCGAACGCACUCGGUUCUCCGGGCUACAAAAUAUCCCCCUGUGUUUCCGGUCGGUUUGAUCCAAUUCGCGAUACGCCUUACCUCUUUCAUCGUUUUCACACAGUCCGCGAUUACAUAUUGACGCGUUUAAACCGAUCAAAAUGCAAAACACAUCCAGCGCUGUGGGGGAGAGGGGAGGGAGGGGGUGGGUGUCAUCGGGAAAUAUUUAACGUGGCGUACUUUUGCGAAUUUUUCCCUCAUUUUUCUCUAUUUACGAGCCAUCGCAGUUUCAAACGGUUCGCUCGAUAAAAAGGUUACACAAAUUGCAAUCAACGUUUAUGGGGGCGAUAAUUAUAGGAAAAUACCGCGAACGUGCUCGAAAUAUACACGAAAUAUAAACGUGCGUCCUGCGUCGAGGGUUGAAAUAAAUUCGAAGCGAAUGAUUGGUAUUAAAGGGUCCGCCGUUUGGCGAAUCGAACGCGCAUUCAAUGAUAUGCGAGACUGAAUUCGAAACUGUACCGAUAAUCGUAAUUAAUUUGAAUAUCAAGCGCGCGCAACUUACGUUCCACUCCGUAAUCCGAGGAGAGCAUCGAGAAUAAUAACGGGAUCGGGUAACGAUCGCGUAUUUACCGAGAUCGUUUCGAGACGAGGAUAAAGAGGGGGAUAAUUUAUACAUCGACGUAACUAAAAUACAAGUCAGAAGUGGGCACGAUAAUGAAAACCGUUCUGUUUUCUGUCCCUCGUUGCUCAUGAAACAUUCAAGAGCUCAGACAAAAGCUUCUUCGCGAGACGAUCGUCUCUUUCUCUGCCACUGUACCGAUCGACGAAUACCACUUCGGCUCAAGAUGGCUGGACGAGUACCGGUCGAGAGACGAAAAAAACAAGAGGGAGAACGGAAUAAAAAUGCCGCAGAAGUCGUGGUUUUCGAGUGCGGUUAUUAUGCUUUCCAAGAUUUUCGAAGGCUCGAGCAUUGUUUCGCUACCCGAAAAGGGCCAUGCUCGUGUCUCGAGCCGAGGCGAAACACGGGGCUACACUGCGCGGAAGACAAAUGAACGUUCUUCCCCAGCGGCGUGGGCUGAGCGCCAAACUAGAAACCACCCCUUCCCCGAGACCUUCGUUUCCUUUCUUCUACGCCCUCUCUCGUUUCUGGUCAUCCACCCAGCCCCCUGAAUCUCUUUCUUCUCCUUUUCCACCGGCCACUUGCUCUUAUUUCCCUCCUUUUGUUUAAUCCCAGCUUUUGCACCCGUACCACUACACCCAGUGGUGCACACGAUCCGACAUACCCGCUGAUCCCCUCCUCUCAUCGAGAUUAGAUCCCCAAAAUAGAGUCACGAAUUCGAGUGUUCGCAAAUCUGAGAGUGGAAUUUACCAAUCGUCGAAACUGUAGCACUUUUAAUUAGUCAAGACGCUCUCUGAACCUGAUACAAAUUUUUCUGACGUAUCUGCAAAGACUAACAGCUUUGAGCACAUUUUUCUUCUAUCCACGCCUUUAGUGCCGAGUACAAUAAGAAAUUUAAGAAAAUUUGUUUAAAUAAAUAAUAUACAGCCCAUAGAAGAUACGUCGAACCAGGGACAAAAGUGCAAAGUGAAGCAACUGACAUAGAACUGAACUGCAAGGAGAAAAAGAGCUAUACGGCCCUGUAUUAUUGAAUAAUAUUUGACCUAAUAGCGCCAGGAGGUUGUGCACCACUGCCGCGCCCUUUUUCACUCUCAUUCCUUCAGCCUGCUCUGACCCUUUCAUUACUUUUUUUUCUUUCCUAACCCCCUUCGUCGAGCCACUUUCACCGUCGCGACUCGGAAUCGACCACAUUCUAUUCCGCCUCUCCAUUCAACGAUCAGAAAGUUUCACGAAAUUCAUUAAAGACGCGUUUUAACUUCCCUCCCGAUUUGCCCGCUGGUCGAACACGGCGAAUCGGUUUCCGGUCAGCGUUUCUUUCGCUACGACCAGCGUUUUCCAGCCGCCGACUCGCGAAUCCCGCCACCGUACCGACUUCCUGGCUAACCGGACAGGACAAGAGAGGGAUGAUUCUUUUGUCCUUUGAAUUCCUUUGUGCACCGCGAAACUUCGACUGGAGUUCCUUUGCCGGCGAUCGCUGAAAGAACCGACGCUGCAGCGACGAAAGAUCAAUUUACACCGGAGACGGAUUCCGUGACUGCGAGAAUUCCCCCGCUGAUCGAAAGACGCUGCGAAUCCAUGAAAGGAACACCGCGACCAUAAAAUUCGUCGUAAAAAUUGAUUUUUCUGUCGAAGCACCCGUUGUUAAUCCUUUCGAUACAUUGGGCGAGAUAUCUCGCUACUAAAACGUAAUUUGUAUGAUUUUAUGAACGAUACAUCCCGUCCGAGUUAUGGACGAGAUAUCUCGCUACCAAAAUGUCGCUUUUGUGAUGCUAUGGACGAGGUAUCUCGUGUCGCAAUUUCUGUUAUGAGAUAUCUCCUACGAAUUACAUUUUGGUAGCGAGGUACCGUCUAGUGUAUCGAAAGGCUUAACUAAACUUUAUAUUCGAGAUUCCGUGGAACUGUGUUAAGUUCUGGAAUUUCAGAGAAUGCUACAACUUAAAUUCUAGGAACAGUCAACUUACUACCAUUAAACAUUUUCAAUAUGACAUGCGUCUACUAUUCAUGGCAGAAGCAAUAAAUUUGGGUAAAAAAAUUAUUGCUUCUAGCAUCGAUGGUAAGUGCAACUCGCGUAAUGACUUUUAAUUAAAAAUUGUACGGUACGAAGAGAACCCACGUGGAGCUCUCUCGAUUAUCAAAAUAAAUGCUUCGAGGCUAAACUACAUAUGUAUAAAAGACUGAGUGCACUUGGACUUCGAGCUGGUGUUGCCUACAUCCGAUCCGUCUAUAUUUUCAUGAAAAAGUUGGUUUAUCGAAAAUAUAAAAAGGUAAAAGAAGAUAUUGGCUACUGCGCGGAUAGCAUUCUACGGAUACAGUGAGUUUACUGCUUGCGAGAAAAGAGUUUCGAAGAUUUACUCGUUCUACCGACGAUGCAUCGCGCGUAUACAUCAGUAAUAUUUAUUACAAUGGGACCGAGAUUGCUUUGGCCUAGCAGAUACAGCCGCGCGAGUGCAUGUAUCAUAACAAACACAACCGUACGCACACAAACGCACACGCAGAGACGUGGUUGCGGGAUACGAGCGCGCGGCUUGUAUAAAGGAUGCGCUUAAUCGUACGUCGGGUUGAAGCGACCACGAAGAUAACGCGAAUCGUUACUCUAUCGAGAUCCGUCGAUCAUUAAUUUCGAUUAAACUUGCGUUAAAUCAUUCCGCGCGGGUAAAUUCGUUAAUAAAUUGUUCUCAACAAAAGCUUAACACAAAUGUACGUUCCUCCUGGGCGAAGAUAAUUCACGACGAGUCUCGAUGCUCGAGCAACAAUGGAUCUCGCGAAAACGACGCGUACGUUGCCCGCGCAAGAGUCGAUCAACAUUUACCAAAGGAUCCGUAGACUAAACGACCCUAUUAAUUACGUCACGCACUAGUCGCUAAGCUCUAUCGAUCGAUAACUAUUUGUAACGUUAAGAAACGAUUAAUAGGCGUUAUACAUACAAACUCACGGUUAAGGGAUAAGGUUUUGCUCACGGAACCCAGCUGCACUCGCCUUUCUCCGUCGUUUUCUUCCUUGCUCGUUCUUUCUUUUUCUUUUUUUCUUUCAACCCCCACCCCAGCAAUUCACGAGCCAACCGAGCGCAGCUGGGUUAAGGAUCAGAAGGAUCUGAUUAAAUUGCUCCUAUAAGAUGCAUCCGCAGGUGCGACGCCGGCUGGGCUGGCUUCUCGACGAGGAAAUGCAUAUCCUGAAAUCGACGAUUUUUUAAGGCGGCUUAGCACGUCCAGGAAAUUGCAUUUUUCAAAUUUGCCCUCGACGCGUCCACGGACUCCUUCCGUGAAUUAAUUGGCCAACUCGGACGGGACCGUUUGCUCGUUGAAUAACGCGUUCUCCGACCGUUUCCCAGUUUACUUUGCCCGGCGAUGGCUCGGUUCCAGUUCGAGCGAGACAACGCGCACCCGUGAUUUAUCAUUUCGAGUGGUUCUCGACGAAACGUGAAAUUGUUUUCGCGUUUCAAGCGUCAUUGCGUCGCGAUCUAUAAGCAACACGCGGCGUCUCGAUCUCUACUGGGAAACGGAGCUACGAGUUCCUGCGACGAUCGAGGUGCGACGAUCGGGAUAAAUAAUUUCACGAAAAGGAGUUUCGUUAUUUAGUCCCACUACUGUCAGUCACUUCGACCCUUCGAUUUUCAAUCAUAAUCGAGGUAAAUUCGAAGAAAAUUUUUGAUAUUUUUAAUAGUUCGUAUCUGGUUGCAAUUGUAACGUUUUGCAAAAGGGGGCAAUUAACUUGAAUAUCUCAUCCGAGUGUAAUUAUAUUUGUGAAACACAACGCAGUAAGUAAUUAUAAUAUCGAGACGUCCAAAAAACAUUCUUGUCAAAAUUUUACAAUUUGUAUUCAACCAAAGAAAAAUUUUCUAUUCAGAUAUCGAAUACAAAACAGUUCGUUCGAUAUUCGACGCUGCAUUAAACACUAAUUACUCGAGUAUUUAAUUUUCGAACCCUGUUCUAAAGGACGAAGAAGUGUAUUCGGUAUUUUGGACGUAUUCAGCCACCCCCGACUCGGACGAAUUGAAACGAGAGUGCCGGCUCGUAGCUGCGGACCGGUAGUCUGAGAUUUUUUAAUAUUUCUAUCGACAGUCCUCGAAAAGUAUACUGAAAGUGCAUAAUCAGAAUGUCUCGACCGAAUCCGACGAAUAUCGACGGAAUGGGGGAAGAUUUGAAGCGCGGCGUAUUUGCAUACUCGAAGCGACGGGGAAGGUCGUCGUUGUAAUCGAUUCGGUUAGGGCCUUUCGCCUCUCAGAUUUAUCUAGAUAAUUAUAUUCGGUAAUUCGUAGGAAUGGCGGAAGACGAGAUCGUGCGCACGAGACGUGUAUUUAUAUACAUAUUCGGACGUAUACGCGCGCGUAUAAGGGGUGUGUAUAAAUAUACGUUGCCCGACGAGAGCGAUGAAAACUCGAACAGAAAAGUAUUAUAAAUAUAGAUAUAUGAAUAUAUAAAUUAUAUAUAUUAUAUACAUACUACAACUAACGCGUAAGGUGUAACUAUCCGUUGGUACAUAUCGCACUUACAACCGGUAGGAAUUAAAGAGGAUGCUUCGUGAAAUGGAAACGAAGCGUCUGAAAGUGUCGACGGAAAUCGAAUGAUCGCCCUGGAAGGAAGAUCGAAAAUAUUACAUGGCGAAACAGGAAAGGGGACGAUGCAGCGAAGUAUAAUUGAAACGAAGCUCCGAUCAAGCGACUUUUCAUUUGAAGUGAUUCAUAUUCAGGCGGUUCUUUUCGAACAAUAUGGAGAAAAGUAUUCAAAUAAGAUCUUAUUCGUUAUUCGACAGGAGUCAGCGAAGAAUAAAUCACGAUCAAGAGGUAUUCAUAGCGCAGUAAUAAAUUGGCCGUCGCGUCCUACUUUCAUUCCAAUGAUUAUUCGAACAAGAAUUUAUUUCGGUAAAGCCGAACCUUAACUGUGGAGUUUCGUUUCUCUCGCAAGUGUCGCAGCAUCGUUCGCGAUCAAUAUUCGCGGUUAUGGAUCAGAAAUAGGCAGAAUGAUAAAUGACGAAUAAGAACUCUGUAUAUUCAGUCGAUGAAACAGUUGCUCGAGUGAGCUGAUAUUCAUGGAACAAAUUGAUCGUGUAAUUCGGACUGCAAGUUUUACUAAGCGCAAAUAGCGAAUCGAUAAAUUUUUUUUUUAUUCAUUCUUCAUUCUUAUCUAGACGAGAAUUUUGUCCAUCUCUGUCGCAGAUCAUGCUCGCGUCGCAGUUCACGCGCAACAGCAUUUUGUAGAUUUUAUACCUCCGAGACGAGAAGCCGUUCGAUCUUCCUUCCCACGGAUUGCUUCGCGAGCGAUUCAAAGUAACCGCAAACUCUCGCGAGAUUUAAAGGACGAGAACAAAAAGGCAGACGGUGUAUCAAAAUAAGGAUUUGUUUGUCCCCCUCUCCCCUUCGAGCCGACUGUACAGUAUAGAGCGUAUCGGGAGCGAACGUAAAGGAACAAAAGUGAACGCGCGUGUGCGAGUGAGUGAUUAAACUAAAAUCGUAUCGAAUGGAUGGCUUGUGGUGCACACAAUUUGUAAAUGCGGACACGAUGACAUCACGAAGUCUCGCGACACAACGAAUAUAAUAAAGAAAAGAAAAGUUCUUCGUUUUCUACACA
This is a long non-coding RNA of Hylaeus anthracinus, 8512 nucleotides long. RefSeq lists it as uncharacterized. The record is from RefSeq and is a predicted model, not a curated record. The transcript is spliced from 2 exons. Lineage: Eukaryota; Metazoa; Arthropoda; Insecta; Hymenoptera; Colletidae.